RNAcentral lists this ribosomal RNA (292 nucleotides) under uncultured bacterium. RNAcentral describes it as "partial 16S ribosomal RNA". It matches the Rfam family "Bacterial small subunit ribosomal RNA", at positions 505 to 796 of the family's 1533-position model. The record is from RNAcentral.
GUGUCAGCAGCCGCGGUAAGACAGAGGCCCCAAGCGUUAGGCGGAAUCACUGGGCUUAAAGCGUGUGUAGGCGGAUCGUUAAGUGUCUUGUGAAAUCCCACGGCUCACCCGUGGAACUGCUGGGCAUACUGGCGAUCUUGGGCCAACUAGGGGCAGCCGGAACAAGCGGUGGAGCGGUGAAAUGCGUAGAUAUCGCUUGGAACGCCGAAGGUGAAAACAGGCUGCUGGGGUUGUGCCGACGCUGAGACACGAAAGCCAGGGGAGCAAACGGGAUUAGAUACCCCCGUAGUCC